Molecule: ribosomal RNA, 667 nt
Filed under: uncultured bacterium
Lineage: Bacteria
Description: bacterial SSU rRNA
Rfam family: Bacterial small subunit ribosomal RNA
Source: RNAcentral
CGGUGAUGGAUGGGGAUGCGUCUGAUUAGCUUGUUGGCGGGGUAACGGCCCACCAAGGCGACGAUCAGUAGGGGUUCUGAGAGGAAGGUCCCCCACAUUGGAACUGAGACACGUUCCAAACUCCUACGGGAGGCAGCAGUGAGGAAUAUUGGUCAAUGGGCGAGAGCCUGAACCAGCCAAGUAGCGUGCAGGAUGACGGCCCUAUGGGUUGUAAACUGCUUUUAUAAGGGAAUAAAGUGAGUCUCGUGAGACUUUUUGCAUGUACCUUAUGAAUAAGGACCGGCUAAUUCCGUGCCAGCAGCCGCGGUAAUACGGAAGGUCCGGGCGUUAUCCGGAUUUAUUGGGUUUAAAGGGAGCGUAGGCCGGAGAUUAAGCGUGUUGUGAAAUGUAGAUGCUCAACAUCUGCACUGCAGCGCGAACUGGUUUCCUUGAGUACGCACAAAGUGGGCGGAAUUCGUGGUGUAGCGGUGAAAUGCUUAGAUAUCACGAAGAACUCCGAUUGCGAAGGCAGCUCACUGGAGCGCAACUGACGCUGAAGCUCGAAAGUGCGGGUAUCGAACAGGAUUAGAUACCCUGGUAGUCCGCACGGUAAACGAUGGAUGCCCGCUGUUGGUCUGAAUAGGUCAGCGGCCAAGCGAAAGCAUUAAGCAUCCCACCUGGGGAGUAC